UACGAAGGGGGCUAGCGUUGCUCGGAAUCACUGGGCGUAAAGCGCAUGUAGGCGGAUUGCUAAGUCAGGGGUGAAAUCCUGGAGCUCAACUCCAGAACUGCCUUUGAUACUGGCGAUCUUGAGUCCGGGAGAGGUGAGUGGAACUGCGAGUGUAGAGGUGAAAUUCGUAGAUAUUCGCAAGAACACCAGUGGCGAAGGCGGCUCACUGGCCCGGUACUGACGCUGAGGUGCGAAAGCGUGGGGAGCAAACAGG
Molecule: ribosomal RNA, 253 nt
Filed under: uncultured bacterium
Lineage: Bacteria
Description: partial 16S ribosomal RNA
Rfam family: Bacterial small subunit ribosomal RNA
Source: RNAcentral